GAUGAAGAACGCAGCGAAAUGCGAUAAGUAAUGUGAAUUGCGGAAUUCAGUGAAUCAUCGAAUCUUUGAACGCACAUUGCGCCCGCCAGUAUUCUGGCGGGCAUGCCUGUUCGAGCGUCAUUACAACCCUCAGGCCCCCGGGCCUGGCGUUGGGGAUCGGCGGAGCCCCCCGUGGGCACACGCCGUCCCCCAAAUGCAGUGGCGGUCCCGCCGCAGCUUCCAUCGCGUAGUAGCUAACACCUCGCGACUGGAGAGCGGCGCGGCCACGCCGUAAAACACCCAACUCUUCUGAAGUUGACCUCGAAUCAGGUAGGAAUACCCGCUGAACUUAAGCAUAUCAAUAAGCGGAGGA
Molecule: unclassified non-coding RNA, 352 nt
Filed under: soil metagenome
Description: partial contains 5.8S ribosomal RNA, internal transcribed spacer 2, and large subunit ribosomal RNA
Rfam family: 5.8S ribosomal RNA (bases 1-120)
Source: RNAcentral